UCCUGGCUCAGAGCGAACGCUGGCGGCAGGCCUAACACAUGCAAGUCGAGCGCCGUAGCAAUACGGAGCGGCAGACGGGAGAGUAACACGUGGGAACGUACCCUUCAGUUCGGAACAACCCAGGGAAACUUGGGCUAAUACCGGAUACGUCCGUAAGGAGAAAGAUUUAUCGCUGAAGGAUCGGCCCGCGUCUGAUUAGCUUGUUGGUGAGGUAACGGCUCACCAAGGCUACGAUCAGUAGCUGGUCUGAGAGGAUGAUCAGCCUCACUGGGACUGAGACACGGCCCAGACUCCUACGGGAGGCAGCAGUGGGGAAUAUUGGACAAUGGGCGCAAGCCUGAUCCAGCCAUGCCGCGUGGGUGAUGAAGGCCCUAGGGUUGUAAAGCCCUUUCGGCGGGGAAGAUAAUGACGGUACCCGCAGAAGAAGCCCCGGCUAACUUCGUGCCAGCAGCCGCGGUAAUACGAAGGGGGCUAGCGUUGCUCGGAAUCACAGGGCGUAAAGCGCACGUAGGCGGCUUUUUAAGUCAGGGGUGAAAUCCUGGAGCUCAACUCCAGAACUGCCUUUGAUACUGAGAAGCUUGAGUCCGGGAGAGGUGAGUGGAACUGCGAGUGUAGAGGUGAAAUUCGUAGAUAUUCGCAAGAACACCAGUGGCGAAGGCGGCUCACUGGCCCGGUACUGAC
Molecule: ribosomal RNA, 681 nt
Filed under: uncultured bacterium
Lineage: Bacteria
Description: bacterial SSU rRNA
Rfam family: Bacterial small subunit ribosomal RNA
Source: RNAcentral